RNAcentral lists this ribosomal RNA (301 nucleotides) under uncultured bacterium. Its description in RNAcentral is "partial 16S ribosomal RNA". It matches the Rfam family "Bacterial small subunit ribosomal RNA", at positions 509 to 807 of the family's 1533-position model. The record is from RNAcentral.
CAGUCGCCACGGUAAUACGUAGGUGGCAAGCAUUGUCCGGAAUUAUUGGGCGUAAAGGGCUCGCAGGCGGUUUCUUAAGUCUGAUGUGAAAGCCCCCGGCUCAACCGGGGAGGGUCAUUGGAAACUGGGAAACUUGAGUGCAGAAGAGGAGAGUGGAAUUCCACGUGUAGCGGUGAAAUGCGUAGAGAUGUGGAGGAACACCAGUGGCGAAGGCGACUCUCUGGUCUGUAACUGACGCUGAGGAGCGAAAGCGUGGGGAGCGAACAGGAUUAGAUACCCCGGUAGUCCCUGUCUCUUAUAC